UCUUUUAGCAGGGAAGAAGNGAAANCUGACGGUNNNGCAGAAAAANNNCCNGGNNUAACUACGUGCCAGCAGNNGCGGUAAUUANGUAGGGCGCAAGCGUUAUCCGGAAUUAUUGGGCGUAAAGAGNUCGUAGGCGGUUGUCGCNUNUGNUGUGAAANCCCGAGGCUCAACCUCGGGUCUGCAGUGGGUACGGGCAGACUAGAGUGCGGUAGGGGAGAUUGGAAUUCCUGGUGUAGCGGUGGAAUGCGCAGAUAUCAGGAGGAACACCGAUGGNGAAGGCAGAUCUCUGGGCCGUUACUGACGNUGAGGAGCGAAAGGGUGGGGAGCAAACAGGCUUAGAUACCCUGGUAGUCCACCCCGUAAACGUUGGGAACUAGUUGUGGGGUCCAUUCCACGGAUUCCGUGACGCAGNUAACGCAUUAAGUUCCCCGCCUGGGGAGUACGGCCGCAAGGNUAAAACUCAAAGGAAUUGACGGGGACCCGCACAAGCGGCGGAGCAUGCGGAUUAAUUUGAUGCAACGCGAAGAACCUUACCAAGGCUUGACAUAUACGAGAACGGGCCAGAAAUGGUCAACUCUUUGGACACUCGUAAACAGGUGGUGCAUGGUUGUCGUCAGCUCGUGUCGUGAGAUGUUGGGUUAAGUCCCGCAACGAGCGCAACCCUCGUUCUAUGUUGCCAGCACGUAAUGGUGGGAACUCAUGGGAUACUGCCGGGGUCAACUCGGAGGAAGGUGGGGAUGACGUCAAAUCAUCAUGCCCCUUAUGUCUUGGGCUUCACGCAUGCUACAAUGGCCGGUACAAAGGGCUGCAAUACCGCGAGGUGGAGCGAAUCCCAAAAAGCCGGUCCCAGUUCGGAUUGAGGUCUGCAACUCGACCUCAUGAAGUCGGAGUCGCUAGUAAUCGCAGAUCAGCAACGCUGCGGUGAAUACGUUCCCGGGUCUUGUACACACCGCCCGUCAAGUCAUGAAAGUCGGUAACACCUGAAGCCGGUGGCCCAACCCUUGUGGA
Molecule: ribosomal RNA, 1008 nt
Filed under: Microbacterium sp. XYY-2015
Lineage: Bacteria; Bacillati; Actinomycetota; Actinomycetes; Micrococcales; Microbacteriaceae
Description: partial 16S ribosomal RNA
Rfam family: Bacterial small subunit ribosomal RNA
Source: RNAcentral